This 289-nucleotide unclassified non-coding RNA is filed under the name Hevea brasiliensis (rubber tree). Lineage: Eukaryota; Viridiplantae; Streptophyta; Magnoliopsida; Malpighiales; Euphorbiaceae. The record is from RNAcentral.
AAAGGCUCUUCAAGGCGACUACGUCCUUCAAAUCUCCAGAGUUGAAAGCUUUGUUAAUCUCUGAUAAAUCAGCCACAAUUAUUGCACAAUCAACAUCCCUCUUAGUGUACCUUUUAUUUGAAAUCUUAUUAUUAUUAUCAUAAUCAUCGUGUCGAAAACAAGGUUGAUUAUGUCGAACGCCACGUGUCAUCCAUGUAGAAACUUCAUCUAAUCCCUCAAUCAUAUCAUUAGUAUCUAAUCCCCUUGUAUCAUACACACAAAAUCCACUUCUCAUUGAUCUCAACACAUU